GACGAACGCUGGCGGCGUGCCUAAUACAUGCAAGUCGUGCGGGUGAAGCCGACCACCCCUUCGGGGGCGGAUGGUGGAACCAGCGGCGGACGGGUGAGUAACACGUGGGCAACCUGCCUGCAAGACCGGGAUAACUGCGGGAAACCGGAGCUAAUACCGGAUAAGAGGCUUUUCCGCAUGGGGGAGCCUUAAAAGGCGGCGGAAGUCGUCACUUGCAGAUGGGCCCGCGGCGCAUUAGCUAGUUGGUGAGGGAAGGGCUCACCAAGGCGACGAUGCGUAGCCGACCUGAGAGGGUGACCGGCCACACUGGGACUGAGACACGGCCCAGACUCCUACGGGAGGCAGCAGUAGGGAAUUUUCGGCAAUGGGGGGAACCCUGACCGAGCAACGCCGCGUGAGCGAGGACGGCCUUCGGGUUGUAAAGCUCUGUCAUGUGGGAAGAACGGCUAGGAGAGGGCAUGCUCUUAGCGUGACGGUACCACAGGAGGAAGCCCCGGCUAACUAC
RNAcentral lists this ribosomal RNA (505 nucleotides) under uncultured Bacillota bacterium. RNAcentral describes it as "bacterial SSU rRNA". It matches the Rfam family "Bacterial small subunit ribosomal RNA", at positions 28 to 504 of the family's 1533-position model. Lineage: Bacteria; Bacillati; Bacillota. The record is from RNAcentral.